Molecule: long non-coding RNA, 98 nt
Organism: Pseudophryne corroboree (corroboree frog)
Lineage: Eukaryota; Metazoa; Chordata; Amphibia; Anura; Myobatrachidae
Exons: 3
Source: RefSeq, a predicted model, not a curated record
GCCCUACACUGGAACAGGCCGCGGAAGAAGAGGAUGAUGAUGAGACGACGAGCCAGAAUACAUUUUUGUCCGUUGCCAACCAGUGGAGGAGACACUUG